CCCGUGUUCUGACAUUCUUCUCUUUACAUUGUCACCCCCCCACCCAGAAAACGCACAUAGUCAAACCAUAUAUAACUAGGCUCCUUCUUUCAAUAAACGAGACCUUUUUCCACCGCAAUGUAGUCUCCCUCCCCUUUCUCGCCCAUUUCUCUUGCAGGUCUUGUCCUCCUCGACACCCCACGAAUAAUGAGGUCCUGCUGGAUGGGACAAGUGGUGCCCAAUGUGGGCCUCGAGGAACGGACUCUUGACCAGGUGGACCCCUGAAGUCGUCCUCGUGGACCCCUGCAGCCGUCCGGACCCCUAAUUCUGAUUUUGGUCAAAUUACAGAUAUUGGCUUGCUUCUGGAACCGGGAUCAGCUUUGAUCAGCUUUGAUUGUCACCACGGCACACACCCACUCUGCAAGGAAUGAGAGCCUCCUAUCACUUCACAGCCUGAAGCAGCAGUUUUAAAUGAGACCAUGGACUGGACCCUGCAUCGACUGUACUUUGGACUGAUAUGAGGGACUUUGGGAAUGGUUGAUGACUGACUUUUAAACCUUACCUGGAUCAUCUAUUACUGUGUGUUUAAGAUUUGAUAUGGGAUUUGUUAAAAUUGUGUAAUUAUUGCUGUUAUGUUUAAGGGCUUUUUAUGUAUAGGGAUUUUGAUUCACUCUCGGAAUUUAUAUGGGGAAUGGUCAUUUGAUAAUUCCUUUCUGUGAGAAAAAAAAAGGGGAGGUAGAGAUAGAACAUUGGGAACCUGGUAUAUUUUUUUCAAAAUACCUGAAAGAAUGGGAACCCCUAGCUCCUAUUCACUUUGCCUUAGGCAUUUCUGCCCCACCCCCUAUCUCACUAGUUCAGAUUGAAUUUGGAUGCUUUAGUUUUAGAAUCCCUUAUUUUGUUAAAAUUUCCCUGGCAGACUCAGUUUUGGGAUUAUUAAUCCUGGUAUCCAAACUGGUUCUCAACCUCCCCCUGGCUGACAACCCUUCUUCAUACUCUUCUGGGACCAUUCAUGGCUAUUCUCCUUCUUAUUUCUUUCGGACCUUGGCUGUUUGCUAAGUUAACUGGUUUUGUUAAGUCCCAGGUGGAUGCUGCCAUUCAGAAGAGUACUCACGUGUUCUAUCAAAGGCUCCAUACUUCUGAGUCAUUGGAACAAAUGCAAAAUCCACUUUUUGAGCCUCUGCAGUUUGCCAAUUUUAGAGGCCGAACUCAACACCCUCUGGUAUCGUAGAUGCUGUCGAGAUAAUUAGGUGGGCCUAAAGCUGUGGAGGAGCCCAUGACGGGACAGGAGUCCUGCCAAAUGAAUUAUGUAGGCUGCAGGUCCAGAUGCGCGUCGCAUAGCCUAAGACAGGCCCUCCACCGACCCAUAAUUCAUCAUGCAUAUGAUAAGGAAGGGGGAGACGUUGGAGACAGGAAGUCGGCCAUAUCCAUCCUGGAACCAGAUAACAAGUAUGCCCCAGGAGGUCAGCCACACCCGUGUUCUGACAUUCUUCUCUUUACAUUGGCACCCCUCCACCCAGAAAACGCACGUAGUCAAACCAUAUAUAACUAGGCUCCUUCUUUCAAUAAACGAGACCUUUUUCCACCGCAA
Molecule: long non-coding RNA, 1567 nt
Organism: Antechinus flavipes (yellow-footed antechinus)
Lineage: Eukaryota; Metazoa; Chordata; Mammalia; Dasyuromorphia; Dasyuridae
Exons: 2
Source: RefSeq, a predicted model, not a curated record